RNAcentral lists this transfer RNA (69 nucleotides) under Camelus bactrianus (Bactrian camel). It matches the Rfam family "tRNA". Rfam says of the family: Transfer RNA (tRNA) molecules are approximately 80 nucleotides in length. Their secondary structure includes four short double-helical elements and three loops (D, anti-codon, and T loops). Lineage: Eukaryota; Metazoa; Chordata; Mammalia; Artiodactyla; Camelidae. RNAcentral also lists the same sequence under 2 other names. The record is from Rfam by way of RNAcentral.
GGAGUAGCUCAGUGGAAGAGUAUAUGCUUAGCAUGCGUGAGGUCCAGGGUUCAAUCCCCAGUACCUCCA